RNAcentral lists this ribosomal RNA (471 nucleotides) under uncultured bacterium. Its description in RNAcentral is "partial 16S ribosomal RNA". It matches the Rfam family "Bacterial small subunit ribosomal RNA", at positions 28 to 506 of the family's 1533-position model. The record is from RNAcentral.
GACGAACGCUGGCGGCGUGCUUAACACAUGCAAGUCGAACGCUGAAGCUUGGUGCUUGCACUGGGUGGAUGAGUGGCGAACGGGUGAGUAAUACGUGAGUAACCUGCCCUUGACUCUGGGAUAAGCCUGGGAAACUGGGUCUAAUACUGGAUAUGACAUGCCACUGCAUGGAGGUGUGUGGAAAGGGUUUUACUGGUUUUGGAUGGGCUCACGGCCUAUCAGCUUGUUGGUGGGGUAAUGGCCUACCAAGGCGACGACGGGUAGCCGGCCUGAGAGGGUGACCGGCCACACUGGGACUGAGACACGGCCCAGACUCCUACGGGAGGCAGCAGUGGGGAAUAUUGCACAAUGGGCGGAAGCCUGAUGCAGCGACGCCGCGUGAGGGAUGACGGCCUUCGGGUGGUAAACCUCUUUCAGCACGGAAGAAGCGAGAGUGACGGUACGUGCAGAAGAAGCGCCGGCUAACUACGG